Mycoplasma suis str. Illinois is the source of this 110-nucleotide ribosomal RNA. The record is from Rfam. Lineage: Bacteria; Bacillati; Mycoplasmatota; Mollicutes; Mycoplasmatales; Mycoplasmataceae.
UGCAGUCAGGAUACUAUGGUGGAAAUACCUAUACCCAUUCCGAACAUAGCCGUCAAGCACCAUAGGCUCAAUUUGGCCUCAAGAAGAGAGCUUCCUUGAGUUGACUGCAC